CAGUGGUUAGUUUAAUUAAAAUAUUAAUUUUGGAGAUUAAUGAUGAGUAUAUUUCUUACCUCUGA
Molecule: transfer RNA, 65 nt
Filed under: Tuxedo cruralis
Lineage: Eukaryota; Metazoa; Arthropoda; Insecta; Hemiptera; Miridae
Description: tRNA-Pro
Source: RNAcentral